CAAACCAAAGCUGGCGACCGGCGCACGGGUGAGUAACACGUAUCCAACCUGCCUCAUACUCGGGAAUAGCCUUUCGAAAGAAAGAUUAAUAUCCGAUAGCAUAUAUUUCCCGCAUGGGUUUUAUAUUAAAGAAAUUCGGUAUGAGAUGGGGAUGCGUUCCAUUAGUUUGUUGGGGGGGUAACGGCCCACCAAGACUACGAUGGAUAGGGGUUCUGAGAGGAAGGUCCCCCACAUUGGAACUGAGACACGGUCCAA
This 255-nucleotide ribosomal RNA is filed under the name uncultured bacterium. RNAcentral describes it as "partial 16S ribosomal RNA". It matches the Rfam family "Bacterial small subunit ribosomal RNA", at positions 74 to 334 of the family's 1533-position model. The record is from RNAcentral.